Molecule: long non-coding RNA, 336 nt
Organism: Bolinopsis microptera
Lineage: Eukaryota; Metazoa; Ctenophora; Tentaculata; Lobata; Bolinopsidae
Exons: 3
Source: RefSeq, a predicted model, not a curated record
AAUAAUGAUAACUGCAGGGUUUCAAAAUGUACAAGGCAUCAUAUCAAAGACUGCAUAUAAUGCCCGAAAGAAGGACAAAUCCAAUUUGGCUCUCUGGAUGUAUUGAAAGCUCUCAACCUUCCAGAAAAGGACUGUUCAAAGGAACACUUAAAUCCCUCCGACAGACAAAGAUAACCUCUCUAGGCCCUCUGGUGGUGACGUAUAAGUGCUUUCUCAGUACUUUCUCUCGCUUUUGGACAAAUCCAAGUGCUGUAUCUGUACCCGAAUAGAAAUAAAGGAUUUUAAUGAAACAGUUUUCUUCCGCUCUGAAAGUGAACGAAUGACAAAACAGUCUAG